AAAAAAAAAAAAAAAGACGCAGUGCACCACUGUAGUCAUGCUAAAAGUACAACUAAAUAUUUAAAGGAAGGCGGAGGAAGAUCUUUCAUUAAAGGAGAAAAUUGGAAAUACACCAAAUCUGAAACUUUAAAAAGUUGUUUCCGAGUAUAACACAAAUAGUAUAGAUACAAAAAAUGUAGAUUGUGUUUUGUGCCUGAAUAUUCAGAAUACAGGGCCCUGUGAGUGAUAAAAUCAAAUAGACACAUCUCUAGUCCCCCCCUUCAUUUGUUUCCCUAAUUUUGUUUUCAUACUUAGUGUCCAAAUCAUCUUCCUCCUGCAUAUGCUGAGAUUUUUUUAAGCAUGCAUGUUUUUUUUUCUUUCAGUUUUUUGGGUAGCUUCUAGUGAGUUCCAAUACAAAAAAAGGUGUAUACAUAAAAUAAGUACAAAAAAGAAGUGCUUUUAUACUAACACCUUAAAGCUAUUUAGAACUCCAGCGAAGCCACAAAAGAAUGCUGCUUUGGAAAUGGAGAAACAUUCCAAGUAUGGUGUGGUGUUUUCAAGUGGAUUGUGGUUAUAGUCUCAGUUCACUGAACCAAACCUCUAGUGGACUGAUGCAGGAUCACUAGUCUUCAGUCCUUAUGAACUGAGUGAAGAGAUUCAAGGGGACUCAGAAGUUCAUGUUUGAAUGGAAGAAAUGCAGAGACUGUGUUCUCUCAUGGUUUGGGCACAAAGCUGUCCAUCCAGGUAGCUUUAAAAAAGAGACAAGAAAAUAAUCCGAUGGCCUUGCUGUGAUGAAUGGGGAAACCCAUGAGUAAGACCCAGGACAGAUGAACGCUGGAAAUACGAAGGCAACAAUCAUGGAGUCGGAGCAUCCCCAACAAAUGGGAGAAGUCCAAAGAGUGCUUUCCAGACAAAUCAUGCCAACCACAACGCUCAGCAUCUGUAAGCGCUGCUCAUUAGAUGAGUGUCUAGUUGGAUGGGAAGACUGAAGCU
Leptonychotes weddellii (Weddell seal) is the source of this 972-nucleotide non-coding RNA. NCBI's taxonomy places the organism in Eukaryota, Metazoa, Chordata, Mammalia, Carnivora, Phocidae. The record is from RefSeq and is a predicted model, not a curated record.